This 564-nucleotide ribosomal RNA is filed under the name Boana xerophylla. RNAcentral's name for it is "partial 16S ribosomal RNA". It matches the Rfam family "Bacterial large subunit ribosomal RNA", at positions 1827 to 2594 of the family's 2925-position model. The record is from RNAcentral. Lineage: Eukaryota; Metazoa; Chordata; Amphibia; Anura; Hylidae.
CGCCUCUUGAGAGAUAUAAGAGGUCCAGCCUGCCCAGUGACCUAGUUCAACGGCCGCGGUAUCCUAACCGUGCGAAGGUAGCGUAAUCACUUGUUCUUUAAAUAAGGACUAGUAUGAAUGGCACCACGAGGGUUUAACUGUCUCCUUUUUCUAAUCAGUGAAACUAAUCUCCCCGUGAAGAAGCUGGGAUUUUUUUAUAAGACGAGAAGACCCUAUGGAGCUUUAAACUAUUUUACACCUGCUGCCCACAAACCAACUUCCAGAAAUUAACCCUAAAGCAUAGCACUUUGAUUAAUAGUUUUUGAUUGGGGUGAUCGCGGAGUAAAAAAUAACCUCCACGACGAAAGGAUUUUUCCUGAGCCAUAAGCCACAGCUUUAAGCACUAAUAUUAUUAACGGCUAUUGACCCAAUAAUUUUGAUCAACGAACCAAGUUACCCUAGGGAUAACAGCGCAAUCCACUUCAAGAGCUCCUAUCGACAAGUGGGUUUACGACCUCGAUGUUGGAUCAGGGUAUCCUAGUGGUGCAGCCGCUACUAACGGUUCGUUUGUUCAACGAUUAAAAC